Molecule: ribosomal RNA, 912 nt
Filed under: uncultured Candidatus Poseidoniales archaeon
Lineage: Archaea; Methanobacteriati; Thermoplasmatota; Candidatus Poseidoniia; Candidatus Poseidoniales
Description: bacterial SSU rRNA
Rfam family: Archaeal small subunit ribosomal RNA
Source: RNAcentral
UUCUGGUUGAUCCUGCCAGAGGCGACCGCUUUUGGAGUUCGAUUAAGCCAUGCGAGUAGAAUGAAUUAGAUCAUUGCAAACUGCUCAGUAACACGUGGAUAACCUGCCCUAUGCUCUGGGAUAACCUCGGGAAACUGAGAAGAAUACCGGAUAGACCACAACGCCUGGAACGGUGUGUGGUUGAAAGGUCACGGCAUAGGAUGGGUCUGCGGCGUAUCAGGUCGUAGGGGGUGUAACGGACCUCCUAGCCAUCGACGCGUACGGGUUGUGGGAGCAAUAGCCCGGAGAUGGAUUCUGAGACACGAAUCCAGACCCUACGGGGUGCAGCAGGCGCGAAAACUUCACACUGCAGGAAACUGUGAUGAGGGAACUCCAAGUGACUGCACAUUGUGUAGCCUUUUCUUUACUAUUAAUCGGUAUUGGAAUAAGGGCUGGGAAAGACCGGUGCCAGCCGCCGCGGUAAUACCGGCAGCUCAAGUGGUCGUCGCUUUUAUUGGGCCUAAAACGUCCGUAGCCUGUUUGGUAAAUCUGUGGGUAAAUCAACCAGCUUAACUGGUUGAAUUCUGCAGAGACUGCCAGACUAGGGACCGGGAGAGGUGUGGGGUACUCUAGGGGUAGGGGUAAAAUCCUGUCAUCCUUAGAGGACCACCAGUUGCGAAGGCGCCACACUGGAACGGAUCCGACGGUCAGGGACGAAGCCUAGGGGCACGAACCGGAUUAGAUACCCGGGUAGUCCUAGGUGUAAACGCUGUGAACUUGGUGUCGGGAGUCCGCAAUGGGCCCCCGGUGCCGGAGUGAAGAUGUUAAGUUCACUGCCUGGGGAGUACGGUCGCAAGGCUGAAACUUAAAGGAAUUGGCGGGGGAGCACUGCAACGGGAGGAGCGUGCGGUUUAAUUGGAUUCAACGCCGGGA